UUUCUCUCUUUUCUCUCUUUUCUUUCUCUUUCUUUCUUGCUUUCUUGCUUUCUUAGAUGGGGUCAACUAUCUUGUCCAGGCUGGUUUCCAAUUCUUGGCACCAAGCGAUCCUCCUCUCUUGGCCUCCCAAAGUGCUGGGAUUACAGGCAUGAGCUACAGCACGCAGCCUAGUCAUAAGAAUAAUGGAUUUUAAACUAGGUACAUGAAUUUACCUUUAAAAGCAUUUCCAAUCCUCCUGAUCCGUAUGUGACCCCUUCAAGAGCAGAAUCUGUAUCUUCUACCCUCAGCAGCACUGAGCCUGGUGUUUUCUAUGUCAUUGGUACACAAUGGUGUUUGAAUAAAUGAUGGGCAAAUGAACUUGUCAGUGAACUUGUAUAUUAGUGGGAUCUUUCAGCUUGCUUUGCCAUAUGCUUCAAGGGAGAACUGAAAAAGGAGCUUCACCUGCACAUGACCAGCACCUGAAGAGGAGGGAUGGACAAGCACAGUCGUGCAUUUGGAAAGAGAAAUUCAAGGAAAUAUUAAACAAAAGAAGACAUGAAGUGGAAAAGUCAUUACAUUGUGGGGAAAAAUGACACAGAACAAUCAAAAUAGAGAGAUCACCUAAUCAUCUUACAGAGAAAGGAGCAUUUAAUCAUCCUGGCAAAAUGAUCAGGUUAUUUCCAGUGAAAUUACAUUAGUCCAUGUGGGGCAGGUCAGUUUAAUCUCUCAUCUUUCGUUCCUUUACUAGAAUGCCUACUUCAUAGGAUGUGAGGAAGGCAUAUAGCAGCUCCUGUAUUUAAUAAAUACUAGCUUCUCUUCUGAU
Long non-coding RNA from Rhinopithecus bieti (black snub-nosed monkey), 802 nucleotides. NCBI's taxonomy places the organism in Eukaryota, Metazoa, Chordata, Mammalia, Primates, Cercopithecidae. The record is from Ensembl.